Molecule: long non-coding RNA, 361 nt
Organism: Physella acuta
Lineage: Eukaryota; Metazoa; Mollusca; Gastropoda; Physidae
Source: RefSeq, a predicted model, not a curated record
UCUGGAAACACCUGGCUGAGGUUUCUCGUUCAAGAGGCGACAGGCAUCUUUGCCGGAAGCGAAUACAGCGACAGACAGCUACGCCCCUUUGGAUUUCUUGGCGAAAGGGUGGCUAAUUCAACGACAAUUCUCGUCAAAACUCACAAAUGCCUACCUGAUACUCUUACACGAUACGAAAGAUCUCUGCUGCUUAUCCGUCACCCUUACGAAGCCAUCAAAGCCGAGUUCAACAGAAAGCACAGCACCAUAAACAAAUCAAUCGCUGAACUGGAUGCUCUUGAACAAUACUGGCCUGAGUACUAUAUUGAAAACCAGAGGUACUGGGUUCGAUUCCAUGAAUUUUGUCACGCCUACAGGAGAC